Molecule: ribosomal RNA, 301 nt
Filed under: uncultured bacterium
Lineage: Bacteria
Description: partial 16S ribosomal RNA
Rfam family: Bacterial small subunit ribosomal RNA
Source: RNAcentral
CAGUCGCCGCGGGAAUACGAAGGGGGCUAGCGUUGUUCGGAAUUACUGGGCGUAAAGCGCACGUAGGCGGAUAUUUAAGUCAGGGGUGAAAUCCCAGAGCUCAACUCUGGAACUGCCUUUGAUACUGAAGAUCUUGAGUUCGGGAGAGGUGAGUGGAACUGCGAGUGUAGAGGUGAAAUUCGUAGAUAUUCGCAAGAACACCAGUGGCGAAGGCGGCUCACUGGCCCGAUACUGACGCUGAGGCACGAAAGCGUGGGGAGCAGACAGGAUUAGAUACCCCGGUAGUCCCUGUCUCUUAUAC